Molecule: long non-coding RNA, 3577 nt
Organism: Pan troglodytes (chimpanzee)
Lineage: Eukaryota; Metazoa; Chordata; Mammalia; Primates; Hominidae
Exons: 4
Source: RefSeq, a predicted model, not a curated record
UACCUAAAACUGCUUGUGUAUGUAGACAUUUGUUCUAGCUAAUAUAAGUCUGACUUCGGAUUUGUAUUUGUAGAUUUAGAUAUGUAAUAUAUUUUGCAGGAAAGGACAGAGUUGAAUUUAAAAACAACCAAUUCUUACAUUUUACUCCAGCAUGGAGAAAAUUCCUUUCAGGAGCAUUAUUUAAUUUACUGCUUCUUAAUUCCAAUUCUAUAGAUGAAAAAAUGAGGCUCAGAUAAAGUAAAUAGCUUGACCAAGAUCCCAUCAUUAGUAAAAAACAGAGUUAUCUAACUCCAAAAUAUUUGUUCUUUCCAUUAUAUGUUGCUAUAGGUGUUAAUAACAAUUUUCAGUGAAAAUAUGAUGUAAGCACAGAGCAAAGGAAAGCCCUGGAACAAAACUCACUGGGUAAUGUUUCCUGUACUAACAAUCAUCCACAAGUGGUGCCAUCCAUAGCCAUCUGGUCCAAUUUCCCCACACUACAUAACUUGAUUGGCUUCUCAUGGUCUUGCCAACAUUUUUUGAGCAUUGUUAUCUUUUUUUAGUAGCUUCCUUAAAGAUGCUGCACUUCAAUCUUCAGGCCAGGGCACGUGAGGCAGUGAACCCAAUCCUGUAAACUUCUCUGACUCUCCAAGACCCCUUGCCAAGCCACUGCUGCUGGGAGACAGCCCUAGAGCAUGACUUCUUGCAAUGUACUUUGAAGUAGAUAAAAUAUGCACUCACGGACAUCUGUCUGUUAUUUCCUGCACUCACAGCUUUGUUCUGCUUUAUUGCCAGAGAAUUCUAUGGAUGAUGUCACUUUUUCUGAAGAGAACAGGCCAUCAGAGCUUUUCACUGACAUAAUUAAUUAUCUGCAGUUUGAUUCUGGGCCAGAAAAUUCUCAAGGCACAGCCCCCAAAAGAAUUAACUCUACUGUGCUUGCUAUUCUUAAACUGUUAAAGAGACAGGGUACCAUAUCUCUUUUUUUCUCAGGCACUGAUAAUGGUAUUUUUGUUCAGUGAUAUCAAGUAACAGAAAGUGAACUGGGGCACUAUUCUAUGAUUUCACAAGGAAGACCUUCGGUUCAAUGGGCAGCAAACUCUAAAGGUCGCUACAGAUCAAGUAUACAAAGCAAAGCUUUUAGGGCUUAGUCUUAAAUGCUACAGGAAUGCAUCACAAUUACUGAAUAGACUUUGGGGGAUCUUGUGAAUCUGCAGGCAGAAAAAUGAGAUCUCAACCAAAGCUAACCAUGUUAAAUUAGCCACAAGGUGAAAGGCUUCAGUUUAUCAGCCACAAAAGCCUAAAACAUAAAAUAUAUUUAAACCUUUCAGGAGAUAAGAAAUUACCUGAAUGGUGACCAUAUAUUUUGAGAGUCUUCACCUAUGUUUUCAUAUAGAUCUAAAACAAAUUAGCCAGUUGCCCAAAAGACUUGUUACUCUCCAUUCUGCUGGGUUUCAAGAUUAUGUAAAUGCACUGUUCUUUGUCUCUUUAAAACUGGAGCUCUGUGGGGAAUGAUGGACACUGUAGAUGUCAUAAGGCAGUGGAGGGGCUCUGUGGAAUCAGGGCACUUGAGUCAUUUCUGUCCCUGAUCUUCACUAGGUGAGUAAUAAGGUAAGAUCUGGGAAGUCUCUCAACUUUCUCAACUCUGGUGGAAAUAGCAAAAUCCUAUUUAAUCUAAAGGAUUAAUGGAGACCAUAGGUUUGAAUAUGCAUAUAAAUAUUGUCCCCCUAAAAAGGAAUUGUUAUUUAUGGUCUCUUCUACUACCUUAGUUCUGCAUAAAUGAGUUUGAAUUGUGCUCUCUCUGAAUGAAUUUACAGUGGUAAAUUAUCUCUUUAGACCUACUAUCAAAAUUUAAAGACAAAAUUAUGACACAAAAAUGUUUGUUAUAAAAAAAUCAAUAUUAGAGAAGUGGUUAAAGAAAAUGAAACGUAUAUGCUACAUCCUCCCACAUUCCACUCACCAAGGCUAAUUCUAUUAAUAAUUUGAAGUGGAUCAUUUCAAAACUGUUUUCUCUGUAGAUAUACAAAUGUAGUAGUAACACAUGCAUUAUCUCCCCCACCCAACAACAUUAUGAAGCACUUAGACAAGUAAUGGACAAAGUGCUUUUUAAACAUUAUCUCACUUAAACCUUACAUAACCUUAUCAGAUAGACACUAUUAUUAUCACCAUUUUGUAAAUGAGGGCUCUGAGGCAGGUGCAGAAAAGUUCAGUCAUUUGCUCAGUCACAUUAACUAAUAAGUGGUGUCAGAAUGCGAAAUCAGGCAACCUAACUUCAGAGCUGGCAAUCUUAAUAUUAUACUUUAUAAAUUCUCCAUAUACAUAUAUCCAUAUAGAACCUCUCAAAUAUGUACCACCUUAUUUUUUUAUUCAACAAUAGAAUGGAAAGGUCAAGGAGAAUUAAAUUUCAUUGCCACUAAUACUCAUUUCACCAUAACUGUUAUGUCUUGUAUUUCAUUUUCAAUAAAUUAAUCAAGCCUCUUCUAUUUUUAUGUCCGUCUUUCAGUUGAGUCUUUUUCAGUGUUCUCAAUUUUUUUUACCUGAAUCUAUAACCUAAAAUUUAGAUCAAACUCUAAUACAAAAAAAAUUCCAAGGAAAAGAUCAAAUAAUUGUGUUAGACUAGAAUUCCACUUUGUUAACUUUGUUUGAAAUAACAAUUUCCACUGUGAUUUAUGUCUGUAGUAAUUAAAUCAAACCUUUACCAGACAUCUCUGAUUUGUCCUGCUCCUCGCUUUACAUGGAAGUUGACAGAUCUAGCUACUUCUUCUCUUUCCUUUAGCACCUGCACAUCCUAAAUGGAACAUUAGUUAUCUAUCUCUCUUCCUCCCCCUCUUCUUCCAUCCUUCAUUCCAUCUGCUAACUUAUUCCUUUAGCAGCUAUGUGCAAAGUAUGUGGCUAGUUGCUGUGGUGAAUCUCAUACGAGUAGGACAUACUCCUGUUUGUAUGACUUUAUAAUCUAGUAGGAGUGAGAUUUCGGAAGGUUACUCCUAUAGCUAAUUGUUCAUCAAGCCACCUUUUGGAAGGAAGGGUGAAAGGAAAGUUCUAGAGCAUGAAAUAGCAUUGGGAAGUCUUCAGGAUUAAUCUUUAAUUUCUGUUUUUUGACCAUCUAAUUGGCUCCAAGCCUUAGCGGACCAUUUGAUUUAUAGAAUCAGAAUAAUUUAGAACAACAAAAAAAUUAAUUGCUUUUUUUUUUUUUUUUUUGAGACAGGGUCUUGUUCUGUUGCCCAGGCUGGAGUUCAGUGGCACAGUCAUGGCUCACUGCAGCUUCAACCUCCAAGGCUCAAUUGAUUCCCCCCGCCUCAGCCUCCCGAGUAGCUGGGACUACAAAUCCUGAAGUCAACCAGGAACUGGUUGGAAGAGAAGAUGGGCCAUCAGUGAAAAAUGGUGGUUACAAUGAAGCAACCGAUUUCACAGCUAAGGUUGUUAAACUCCCACUAAGAAGCAUGAAAAAGAGCAAGAUGCACUUGAGGAGAUAAAGCAGACCUUUGAAGGGAAACCAAACAUCAGUUCAAGUUGUAACUUAGAGACCAGAAAAGAUAUUCCAAGUUUUUGUGAAUUUUAAAAUGUGCUCUUUUGUAUGGAAAAAAUAAAUCCUGUUGGCAAACAA